This 492-nucleotide ribosomal RNA is filed under the name uncultured bacterium. Its description in RNAcentral is "partial 16S ribosomal RNA". It matches the Rfam family "Bacterial small subunit ribosomal RNA", at positions 29 to 507 of the family's 1533-position model. The record is from RNAcentral.
AGUGAACGCUGGCGGUAGGCCUAACACAUGCAAGUCGAACGGCAGCACAGUAAGAGCUUGCUCUUACGGGUGGCGAGUGGCGGACGGGUGAGGAAUACAUCGGAAUCUACUUUUUCGUGGGGGAUAACGUAGGGAAACUUACGCUAAUACCGCAUACGACCUACGGGUGAAAGCAGGGGAUCUUCGGACCUUGCGCGAUUGAAUGAGCCGAUGUCGGAUUAGCUAGUUGGCGGGGUAAAGGCCCACCAAGGCGACGAUCCGUAGCUGGUCUGAGAGGAUGAUCAGCCACACUGGAACUGAGACACGGUCCAGACUCCUACGGGAGGCAGCAGUGGGGAAUAUUGGACAAUGGGCGCAAGCCUGAUCCAGCCAUACCGCGUGGGUAAAGAAGGCCUUCGGAUUGUAAAGCCCUUUUGUUGGGAAAGAAAAGCAGCAGGUUAAUACCCCGCUGUUCUGACGGUACCCAAAGAAUAAGCACCGGCUAACUUCGUG